ACGCUCGACACCUACGGGAGUCAGCAGUGGGGAAUAUUGCACAAUGGGGGAAACCCUGAUGCAGCGACGCCGCGUGGAGGAAGAAGGUCUUCGGAUUGUAAACUCCUGUUGUUGGGGAAAAAGAGGAUGGUACCCAACAAGGAAGUGACGGCUAACUACGUGCAAGCAGCCGCGGUAAUCUGAGCGGGCUGGCAAGGC
Molecule: ribosomal RNA, 198 nt
Filed under: uncultured bacterium
Lineage: Bacteria
Description: partial 16S ribosomal RNA
Rfam family: Bacterial small subunit ribosomal RNA
Source: RNAcentral